Borealophlyctis nickersoniae is the source of this 101-nucleotide non-coding RNA. The record is from the annotation of a GenBank genome assembly. Lineage: Eukaryota; Fungi; Chytridiomycota; Chytridiomycetes; Rhizophlyctidales; Borealophlyctidaceae.
UCCUCGAUCGUCUAGUGGUCAGGAUGCCACGCUUUCAAUUUGCGGGGCAACCCGUGAGCAGAGGAUCCGUGGAGGCCGGGGUUCAAUUCCCCGUCGGGGAG